RNAcentral lists this ribosomal RNA (486 nucleotides) under uncultured bacterium. RNAcentral describes it as "partial 16S ribosomal RNA". It matches the Rfam family "Bacterial small subunit ribosomal RNA", at positions 28 to 507 of the family's 1533-position model. The record is from RNAcentral.
GAUGAACGCUGGCGGCGUGCCUAAUACAUGCAAGUCGAACGCUGGAGAUCUAGCUUGCUAGAUCGAAGGAGUGGCGAACGGGUGAGUAAUACAUAAGCAACCUACCCACGAAGACUGGGAUAAUCUCUGGAAACGGGGACUAAUACCGGAUAGGUAAUCGGAAGGCAUCUUCUGGUUAUUAAAGGUUAAAAACACUGGUGGAUGGGCUUAUGGCGCAUUAGUUAGUUGGUGAGGUAACGGCCCACCAAGACGAUGAUGCGUAGCCGGCCUGAGAGGGUGAACGGCAAAAUUGGGACUGAGACACGGCCCAGACUCCUACGGGAGGCAGCAGUAGGGAAGUGUCGGCAAUGGGGGCAACCCUGACCGAGCAACGCCGCGUGAGUGAAGACGGCCUUCGGGUUGUAAAGCUCUGUUGUAAGGGAAGAACGGUAGAUAGAGAAUAUCUAAGUGACGGUACCUUACCAGAAAGCCACGGCUAACUACGUG